GCCUUUGUGGCCUUAUGGAAAAGGCAACGGCCUUCAAGCCGGGAAAUACGAGUUCGAGUCUCGCCAGAGGUA
Molecule: non-coding RNA, 72 nt
Organism: Daphnia pulex (common water flea)
Lineage: Eukaryota; Metazoa; Arthropoda; Branchiopoda; Diplostraca; Daphniidae
Source: Rfam